This 165-nucleotide ribosomal RNA is filed under the name uncultured bacterium. RNAcentral's name for it is "partial 16S rRNA". It matches the Rfam family "Bacterial small subunit ribosomal RNA", at positions 355 to 511 of the family's 1533-position model. The record is from RNAcentral.
UAGGGAAUCUUCGGCAAUGGACGAAAGUCUGACCGAGCAACGCCGCGUGAGUGAAGAAGGUUUUCGAAUCGUAAAACUCUGUUGGUAGAGAAGAACGUUGGUGAGAGUGGAAAGCUCAUCAAGUGACGGUAACUACCCAGAAAGGGACGGCUAACUACGUGACAG